GAGAGAGGAAAAGUGCAGAUACGGGGUAAUGGAGAGCAGCGCGGGAGUCUUGGGGAUCUUGGCAUUUAGCACUUUAAUUGCGACGUGCGGUUUACAUCAUUAGAUAUAAAAGUCAAAGAAUUAAGCACGAACUACAAUCUUUAUUAGCCCAGUCGCUGUCCUGAGUGAGGCACCUCGUAUUUGGUAACCACAUCGUUAUCUGAAGCGAUUAAAUGGGGUAACUCCUGACGUUUCAUUCCAGAAAGCACCCGAAGCUGUGUUGUAGUUUUACAUAAGCCUUGUGAUUUUGAAAUUAGAAAAAAAGGGGUUGCUAUUAGUUAAGACUUACCUGCGGGAUUCUAAAGCCUUUAGAAUUUAUCUGUCGGGAUAGAACCUAAAGGCUAUUAAUGUGGUUUGGCGAUCAUAUCUUUUGUCAGAAUUUAUAAUUACCGAAAUUGGAAUGAACGUGAGAUGUUUUUCAUUUGCCUUUUUAAUCAAACCUGACAUUCCGACGCAGUAAGGUGUGACUUUUUAAGCAUUUUUUGUAGAGAGCAGAAAUAAAGCAGCUUUCAGAAGAAAAAGUAAAAUAAUUUGGGUUGCUUUAAAAAACCCUAAUUAUAAUCUCUCAUUUAAAACAAGUGCUUGAAAUGAAAACAUUCGAAUUUUCGCCCUUAAAAAACUUUUCUCUGGGGGAAGAAUUCCUUUGCAGUAAGAGAGCAUGCGUGAAUCCACCGCGUUCCUCUCUGGAUGUAUUGAAUACAAAAACUUGGGAGCAAGUAAUGCUAGAGAACAAUGGAUUGGAAGAAUUGGGAGGGUCUUGGUCGGCGUCUAAGAGUCUUUCUAAAACUAACGCCUUGGCCAUGGUCAUUCUGUGACAGUGCAAGGGACAAAGAACUCAUGGUCUCGAAGGCACCUCAUCCCUGACAAGCUGUGCUCCCUGGCUGGUGAGGAUAAGGAACUUUGUAAUACUCAUUGGCUUCCGGCAUCAGAUCACCCUGGAUAAGUGGACUAGCCAGGGUAUGGAUUUCCAAUGCUGAAUCAGAGCCAAUCUGGCGGCUCAGAAGACCAUCACAAUGCAGCAGUGCAUGGAGUCCAUUUACAGACUGACUUCCCUCAUCUUACUGCUGGGCAUGCUUCUACCACUGACCCUGAAGUAGUGAGGUGUUCUCUGGCCGGAGGUGUGAACUCAAGGAAGCUAUGAAGACAUCAACAGGUGCCUCCUGAAUAACCUCACCUCAGUCCUCCAAGAAAGCCUUCCUCCGCACAAGUUUUUCAAAGUUUAAAAAAUGACCUCAAAUUUGAGCGUACUGAGAUAUUUAAGAGGAAGUGUAUUGGUGUCUGCAAAUGACUUUGACUUGCAUCAAAAAAAUGAAGAUCGGUAUAUGGCUAGAGUGAUAGAUGGUCAUAUAUGUGAUAAGGCAAGUAGAAUAAAAUGCUAAUGGUUGCAUUUAGCGGGUAGGGGAGGAUUCAUUAUAAAUAUUUUUUUUAACUUGGCUGUAUGAAUAAUAAUAAAAAUGUUGGCAGAUAAACACUGUGUGUGCAAUGAAAAGGAGAAAUACGCCAUGCCUUUGCACCAAAUUUGACCCCUGAACCAUAAAUUCACCUUCUCUUUUACGUUACUUGAAGAAUGAAGGAUUCUGAGAGGUUAAGGAUAAUGUAGUGAGC
This is a long non-coding RNA of Leopardus geoffroyi (Geoffroy's cat), 1644 nucleotides long. RefSeq lists it as uncharacterized. The record is from RefSeq and is a predicted model, not a curated record. Lineage: Eukaryota; Metazoa; Chordata; Mammalia; Carnivora; Felidae. The transcript has 4 exons.